UACGGGGGGGGCAAGCGUUGUUCGGAAUUACUGGGCGUAAAGGGCGCGUAGGCGGCCUUCUAAGUCAGACGUGAAAUCCCUCGGCUCAACCGAGGAACUGCGCCUGAUACUGGAAGGCUUGAAUCCGGGAGAGGGAUGUGGAAUUCCAGGUGUAGCGGUGAAAUGCGUAGAUAUCUGGAGGAACACCGGUGGCGAAGGCGGCAUCCUGGACCAUUACUGACACUGAAAAGCGAAAGCCAGGGGAGCAAACGGG
This 253-nucleotide ribosomal RNA is filed under the name uncultured bacterium. RNAcentral describes it as "partial 16S ribosomal RNA". It matches the Rfam family "Bacterial small subunit ribosomal RNA", at positions 524 to 776 of the family's 1533-position model. The record is from RNAcentral.